This 337-nucleotide ribosomal RNA is filed under the name Hexabathynella bisetosa. Its description in RNAcentral is "partial small subunit ribosomal RNA". The record is from RNAcentral. Lineage: Eukaryota; Metazoa; Arthropoda; Malacostraca; Bathynellacea; Parabathynellidae.
ACAUAUUUUAGUGAGCCUUUCAAUUUAUUAUUAUAAAUUUACUAUUAAAUCCAGUUUCAUUAAUUUAAUUAUUAUUAAAUUCAAAUUUAUCAUAUAUAGUAACCCAUGACAAUCUUAAUAAUAAGCUACACUUUGAUUUAAUUUAUAUAUUAAAUAUAAAACUAAGUUUUAAUUCUAAAACUUAUUUAAAUAACAGUACAUAAACUUUAUUAUACUAAGUAAAACUAAACGUGGAGUAUCAAUUACAGCACAGGUUCCCCUAAAGCUUUAAAAUACCGCCAGGUUUUUUAAGUUUCAUAAUAAAUAAAUACUAAUACUCUUAAAAUAAUAAUAAAGA